RNAcentral lists this long non-coding RNA (241 nucleotides) under Helianthus annuus (common sunflower). Its description in RNAcentral is "hypothetical non coding rna". The record is from RNAcentral. Lineage: Eukaryota; Viridiplantae; Streptophyta; Magnoliopsida; Asterales; Asteraceae.
AUGGUAUCGACGAAUGAAAGGAAAAUAUUUUUGAGCUACCCUGCAUGCUUAAGUGACCGUCGGAAAUACCUGUUCAAAGAUAGCACCAAGCCGGCCAACAGCUAACCUUCCAUCAUCUCGGGUUACCACAGCUGUUCCCACCUGAUCCAUGGCGUAAAUCGGUCGAAUGUGAGAGGUUUUUUGGAAGAUUAAACUUCAGAAUGGAGAGAAGGACACACAGAGUGUGUGUGUGUGUGUGUGU